GCUUCGCACCGUUAGUGUAACGAUAAGGGAACACAACAGGGGUCCAGUUUAUGUCCCAGGUUAGGGGAAAGGAGGGUUGGCGCCUUUAAACGAGUUUAACCUGACCACAUUCUGUAUGUUCCUGUCCCGAGUCAAGUAGUCUGUAAUUUAGUUUGUUGCUAUGUAACAUAUUUGUUUUUCGUUCAUUAUUUUGUACAUAAAUUAGGUUUUCUCGUUUGAAUUGUUUUACAUAUGUCAUUUCGGGGCCUUUUAUAGCUGACUAUGCGGUAUGACUUUGCUCAUUGUUGAAGGCAGUACAGUGACCUAUAUAUGUAAAUUUCAGUGUCAUUUUGUCUCUUGUGGAGAGUUGUAUCAUUGGCAAUCAUACCACAUCCUUUUAUUUUUUUUUAUAUAUAUAGAAACACAUAUGUCAUCAUCCUUGUGUUUUAUAUACAUUGCUUCAAAGUUGACCGAUACGCUUAGAAUUUGACAGAAAACGUGUGACGUUACAGAAUAAAGUAAUUUGGUAAACAGUGAUAUUGAGGUACAAUUUGAAUUGAUUGAUUGAUGGUUGCUCAACGUCCGGUGGCAACUAUUUCAUGCAUUUACAGGACGAUACAGUGCAAUUUGAAUUGUUGUGUCUGAAAAACACAUUUGGUGCAGCAGUCAAGAAAGGUUAAACAUUCUGUUAUUUGUGAAAAUUAAAAAGAAAAUCAACAUCCUGAUACAAUACACAAUCUUAAUAUAGCAUGCUUUGUACAUGUAUGAUGUAAACGUGUGGGUUGUGUGCGUAGUUAGUCGGACCAUGGAAGUGGAAGUAUUAUAUACUUCCAUGGUCGGACAAACCUUGCAAACUGUAUGCAAAAUUUCACUCAAAUACACCAAGUUCAACAUUCUGUCGUUCGUGAAAAAUUAUUAAAGAAAAAAAUGAUCCCGAGAAUAUAUAUGCACCCUCAAUAUAGGUAAAAAAAUAUAUCGGCGCAAUAUAUUUAAAAAUGCCAAAUUUAGCAACAUGUCAUAAAAAAAAAAAAAAAACAUUGACAAGAUGCGAAUCGUUAGUGUAUGUACUAACACCAGGUACAUCAUUUAAAAGUUUAAGCUUAAAAACUGUACAUAAUCCUACGAAAUCAGCCGUAUAAUCCUAUACUAGUAUACCAAGUGCGGGACUGUCGAAAGGACACUGGUAAAACAAUAUGAUCCCAGUAUUUAGCCAAGGGCACACAAUUUAUAUUAGCAUAUAUAAUGAUGUUCUAUUUAUAAAUUAUUAUAAAUCAUUUGGUGACAAAAUAUCUUUUUGUAUAAGCAGUUCAUAGUGGAUGGUAAUUGGGAGAUAUCAAAUAUAGCAAACUAAC
Molecule: long non-coding RNA, 1331 nt
Filed under: Mytilus galloprovincialis (Mediterranean mussel)
Lineage: Eukaryota; Metazoa; Mollusca; Bivalvia; Mytilida; Mytilidae
Source: RNAcentral